UAUGGUGACUAUAGCGACAGUGUCCACCUCUUCCCAUUCCGAACAGAGAAGUUAAGCCUGUCAGCGCCGAUGAUACUGCAGUAAGAUGUGGGAAAGUAGGUCGUCGCCAACC
RNAcentral lists this ribosomal RNA (112 nucleotides) under Bacteroidales bacterium. The record is from RNAcentral. Lineage: Bacteria; Pseudomonadati; Bacteroidota; Bacteroidia; Bacteroidales.